RNAcentral lists this ribosomal RNA (468 nucleotides) under uncultured bacterium. RNAcentral describes it as "partial 16S ribosomal RNA". It matches the Rfam family "Bacterial small subunit ribosomal RNA", at positions 28 to 507 of the family's 1533-position model. The record is from RNAcentral.
GACGAACGCUGGCGGCGUGCUUAACACAUGCAAGUCGAACGGAAAGGCCCUGCUUUUGUGGGGUGCUCGAGUGGCGAACGGGUGAGUAACACGUGAGUAACCUGCCCUUGACUUUGGGAUAACUUCAGGAAACUGGGGCUAAUACCGGAUAGGAGCUCCUGCUGCAUGGUGGGGGUUGGAAAGUUUCGGCGGUUGGGGAUGGACUCGCGGCUUAUCAGCUUGUUGGUGGGGUAGUGGCUUACCAAGGCUUUGACGGGUAGCCGGCCUGAGAGGGUGACCGGCCACAUUGGGACUGAGAUACGGCCCAGACUCGUACGGGAGGCAGCAGUGGGGAAUAUUGCACAAUGGGCGGAAGCCGGAUGCAGCAACGCCGCGUGCGGGAUGACGGCCUUCGGGUUGUAAACCGCUUUCGCCUGUGACGAAGCGUGAGUGACGGUAAUGGGUAAAGAAGCACCGGCUAACUACGUG